UAUGCGUUCAGCAGCAUGGCAUGGCUGCUCACGACUUCGGUCGUCUUAUUUAAUUGCAGCUGAGUAUGUGUUCCCAUGGUUAUUUUACCCUUUCAUGUCUUGUCAUAAAUAAACAGAAAACUGUUUAUUGUUGUUUACUUUGGACCUGGCAAGACAAGGGUAACGUCUGCCCGUGUACGCAGCAUUGAGGCAGAACAAUUAUACAGGUUCUCAAUUAAAAUGAAUACAAAAUGACACAGAAAAAAUGAUAUCCGUUUCAAACUAACUUUUUGAAUAAUUAUUGCAAGAAGAUAGAUUGUUAUGGUGCAUGCAACUCUUUGCAGUAUUCAAUUUGAUGUAUCACGCUACAUUAAAGUUUCAAAAUGAA
Molecule: long non-coding RNA, 367 nt
Organism: Saccostrea echinata
Lineage: Eukaryota; Metazoa; Mollusca; Bivalvia; Ostreida; Ostreidae
Exons: 2
Source: RefSeq, a predicted model, not a curated record